UAUACAUGUAACAAGCUGAAAUUAGGAGCACUCCCUUUAAGAAAGUGCUCCUAAUCUUAGCUUGUUACCUGUAUA
This is a non-coding RNA of Pelobates cultripes (western spadefoot toad), 75 nucleotides long. The record is from the annotation of a GenBank genome assembly. Lineage: Eukaryota; Metazoa; Chordata; Amphibia; Anura; Pelobatidae.